This 508-nucleotide ribosomal RNA is filed under the name uncultured bacterium. Its description in RNAcentral is "partial 16S ribosomal RNA". It matches the Rfam family "Bacterial small subunit ribosomal RNA", at positions 28 to 523 of the family's 1533-position model. The record is from RNAcentral.
GAUGAACGCUAGCUACAGGCUUAACACAUGCAAGUCGAGGGGAAACGAUAUUGGAAGCUUGCUUCCGAUAGGCGUCGACCGGCGCACGGGUGAGUAACGCGUAUCCAACCUGCCCAUCACUUGGGGAUAACCUUGCGAAAGUAAGACUAAUACCCAAUGAUAUCUCUAGAAGACAUCUGAAGGAGAUUAAAGAUUUAUCGGUGAUGGAUGGGGAUGCGUCUGAUUAGCUUGUUGGCGGGGUAACGGCCCACCAAGGCGACGAUCAGUAGGGGUUCUGAGGGGAAGGUCCCCCACAUUGGAACUGAGACACGGUCCAAACUCCUACGGGAGGCAGCAGUGAGGAAUAUUGGUCAAUGGGCGAGAGCCUGAACCAGCCAAGUAGCGUGCAGGAUGACGGCCCUAUGGGUUGUAAACUGCUUUUAUAAGGGAAUAAAGUGAGUCUCGUGAGACUUUUUGCAUGUACCUUAUGGAUAAGGACCGGCUAAUUCCGUGCCAGCCGCCGCAGUAA